GAUCAUGGCUCAGGACAACGCUGGCGGCAUGCCUAACACAUGCAAGUCGAACGAGACCUUCGGGUCUAGUGGCGCACGGGUGCGUAACGCGUGGGAAUCUGCCCUUCGGUUCGGAAUAACUCAGGGAAACUUGAGCUAAUACCGGAUAAUGACGUAAGUCCAAAGAUUUAUCGCCGAAGGAUGAGCCCGCGUAGGAUUAGCUUGUUGGUGGGGUAAAUGGCCCACCAAGGCGACGAUCCUUAGCCGGUCUGAGAGGAUGAUCAGCCACACUGGGACUGAGACACGGCCCAGACUCCUACGGGAGGCAGCAGUGGGGAAUAUUGGACAAUGGGCGAAAGCCUGAUCCAGCAAUGCCGCGUGAGUGAUGAAGGCCUUAGGGUUGUAAAGCUCUUUACCCGGGAUGAUAAUGACAGUACCGGGAGAAUAAGCUCCGGCUAACUCCGUG
This 445-nucleotide ribosomal RNA is filed under the name uncultured bacterium. RNAcentral describes it as "bacterial SSU rRNA". It matches the Rfam family "Bacterial small subunit ribosomal RNA", at positions 15 to 507 of the family's 1533-position model. The record is from RNAcentral.